CCUACGGGAGGCUGCAGUGGGGAAUAUUGGGCAAUGGGCGCAAGCCUGACCCAGCAACGCCGCGUGAAGGAAGAAGGCUUUCGGGUUGUAAACUUCUUUUAAGAGGGAAGAGCAGAAGACGGUACCUCUUGAAUAAGCCACGGCUAACCACGUGCCAGCAGCCGCGGUAAUACGUAGGUGGCAAGCGUUGUCCGGAUUUACUGGGGGUAAAGGGCGUGCAGCCGGGAAGACAAGUCAGAUGUGAAAUCCCGCGGCUCAACCGCGGAACUGCAUUUGAAACUGUUUUUCUUGAGUACCGGAGAGGUCAUCGGAAUUCCUUGUGUAGCGGUGAAAUGCGUAGAUAUAAGGAAGAACACCAGUGGCGAAGGCGGAUGACUGGACGGCAACUGACGGUGAGGCGCGAAAGCGUGGGGAGCAAACAGGAUUAGAUACCCCAGUAGUC
This 442-nucleotide ribosomal RNA is filed under the name uncultured bacterium. RNAcentral describes it as "partial 16S ribosomal RNA". It matches the Rfam family "Bacterial small subunit ribosomal RNA", at positions 338 to 795 of the family's 1533-position model. The record is from RNAcentral.